GAUGAACGCUGGCGGCGUGCCUAAUACAUGCAAGUCGAGCGAACAGAUGAGGAGCUUGCUCCUCUGACGUUAGCGGCGGACGGGUGAGUAACACGUGGAUAACCUACCUAUAAGACUGGGAUAACUUCGGGAAACCGGAGCUAAUACCGGAUAAUAUAUUGAACCGCAUGGUUCAAUAGUGAAAGACGGUUUUGCUGUCACUUAUAGAUGGAUCCGCGCCGCAUUAGCUAGUUGGUAAGGUAACGGCUUACCAAGGCAACGAUGCGUAGCCGACCUGAGAGGGUGAUCGGCCACACUGGAACUGAGACACGGUCCAGACUCCUACGGGAGGCAACAGUAGGGAAUCUUCCGCAAUGGGCGAAAGCCUGACGGAGCAACGCCGCGUGAGUGAUGAAGGUCUUCGGAUCGUAAAACUCUGUUAUUAGGGAAGAACAAAUGUGUAAGUAACUAUGCACGUCUUGACGGUACCUAAUCAGAAAGCCACGGCUAACUACGUG
This 497-nucleotide ribosomal RNA is filed under the name uncultured bacterium. RNAcentral's name for it is "partial 16S ribosomal RNA". It matches the Rfam family "Bacterial small subunit ribosomal RNA", at positions 28 to 507 of the family's 1533-position model. The record is from RNAcentral.